GACGAACGCUGGCGGCGUGCUUAACACAUGCAAGUCGAACGGAAAGGCCCUGCUUUUGUGGGGUGCUCGGGUGGCGAACGGGUGAGUAACACGUGAGUAACCUGCCCUUGACUUUGGGAUAACUUCAGGAAACUGGGGCUAAUACCGGAUAGGAGCUCCUGCUGCAUGGUGGGGGUGGGAAAGUUUCGGCGGUUGGGGAUGGACUCGCGGCUUAUCAGCUUGUUGGUGGGGUAGUGGCUUACCAAGGCUUUGACGGGUAGCCGGCCUGAGAGGGUGACCGGCCACAUUGGGACUGAGAUACGGCCCAGACUCCUACGGGAGGCAGCAGUGGGGAAUAUUGCACAAUGGGCGGAAGCCUGAUGCAGCAACGCCGCGUGCGGGAUGACGGCCUUCGGGUUGUAAACCGCUUUCGCCUGUGACGAAGCGUGAGUGACGGUAAUGGGUAAAGAAGCACCGGCUAACUACGUG
This 468-nucleotide ribosomal RNA is filed under the name uncultured bacterium. RNAcentral's name for it is "partial 16S ribosomal RNA". It matches the Rfam family "Bacterial small subunit ribosomal RNA", at positions 28 to 507 of the family's 1533-position model. The record is from RNAcentral.